CGUGUGUGCCGAGCAAGUUGUUGGCUUGUAUGUUCGUCAGGCUGCGAUGACGUUCAUUUGUGAGGUCGGGCUCGGGCUCAUCGGUGUUGAUGGAGCAUAAAGAAGCACAAUGUUUGAUGAGUGCAUCAUUCACAAGAACGAGACGCCGUCGACCCUGUGAAACAAAUGACGAGGUGAUGAGGGGAUGAGGUGGUUGGCUCAUCAUCUCCGCUCUCGCCGGAAUCAAACUGAAUGUAUCAAGACUGAAUCAUGGUCGCCGAGAUCGAGUCACCAAAGAGAUAAUCUUCACAAAUAAAAUUUAAACCCCAUUAAUAAUUAGACCUUGCAACUCACAAAAAAAAAAUGUAAGAGUUGAUAUGCUUUAUGACUUGAUACUCGGGCUAGCAUAUUAAUUUUUCCUUGCUGCUAGCAUAUUAAUUUUUCCUAGCAAGGGACAAGGGUUUACGUAUGACUACCAUAAUCCAUUAACUUUCCCAAUAAUUUUAAUAAAGCAAUUAGCUGCCAAACUAUCAAUAGACGUGCAUUUUGACGUUUUAAAGAAGGUGGUCUAAUGAUAAUAAUUAGUUAAUAUUGGGAAAACUUAUCUCAAUGUAUCGCUCUUGUCUGAGCUGAGAUGGUGGUGAGCUCUGCCUCAAUGGAUCGUUCUUGUCUGAGCUGAGAUGGUGGUAAGCUCUGUGUUCCACAGAACAAGUCGGCAAAGAGAAGCAAGAGCUUUUAAUGGAGGUGUGAUGACUGAUGUCAUUUCGUCAGAUUCUUUGCUGUUCGAGAAGCCAAGCUUAACGACGGGUUGGAAUGCGUUUUGCGCGGUGAACAAUCUUGUGAAGCCGAGUGGAAACAUAACAUGGCAGUAUUAAGCUGGAGCACGCCUUGUAAGGUGUUGCAGUCUUCACUCUCGCAAAGCGAGUCAUGGCGAGAAGAAGCUGUUGACUUUGGAGCUCAAUUUAGUAAGAAUAAAGCUUUGAAAAACAGAGCUCAAGUCGUCAAUAAGCUGUCCUUGAUGGGGCUUGAAGGAUCAAGUCUUUGCCGUGUCUCGUGUCUGAACAACAGCUUGGAGACCAAAGGUAUGAGCGAAGCAGUUGCUCAUCUGACCAGACAAGAACUCGAUCCAACAACGCAGUGAAGAACAUGUGUUUCUCAAGGCAGAUCAAGUGGUUGCUCAUCCGAUCAGAAGUUGAUGAGGAGGAAGAUGAUUCAGUGGAAGCCGAGCCAGAUAAGUUUCUGUUUGCUAUUUGCUUGUCUGGAGCUGGAGCUGCGUAUGAAUUACGUCGCUGCGAACGGAGAGGUAGUGAAAGCUGAGGAGAUCGCGGGAGCCGUAAGAUCUCUGACGGACGGUGAGGAUACGCCGGGGAAGAGAAUGAAGGAGAUGGCGGAAGCUGCGAGGAUGGCUCGUCUUCACGGCGGCGACGUUUGAGAUCGUGUGUCUGAUGUCGUUCUCUGGGAUUACGAACAUGAACUGCCAUUGUUGCUUCAUGUUAUUAUCAGCCCACCAAGUGCUCGAUGAAAGUCCCACCCGAAGAAAGCAAAGCUUUCAUGAGAAAGCUUCAUCCUUUAGCUUCACCUAGUGCUCGAUGAACUGCUUCUGCCGGGAUCGGAUCUUCUGAGGAUGAUAUGCCCAAACUGUCGAGAUCAACCCAAGAACGCCGAUAUCAAGUUCUGUCGAGGACUGUCGCGUUAUCAAAGCCGAGAACGUGAGUCUCGAACAGCUUCUCCUAUCUUGUGAUGAACAAACCGGAACGUGAGUCUCGAACAGCUUCUCCUAUCUUGUGAUGAACAAACCGGAACUGACGAGUAUCCACGGUAAGAAACAAGACGACAUCGUUGGUUCAUUCUCUCUCUUUUUCUUUUUUUUUUUUUUUUUUUUUUAUCCUAGAUCUAGGGUUUCCCAAGUUUGAUAUGCUAUCAAGAUUGUUCUCUUUGGCACCCUCCUUCUGGCGCCAACUGUUUGAACCGAAAAUGGUGUGUUUGUCGGAUUCAUACAAUGAAGAAUUUAAGAAAUAGAUUUCUUAGAUUCUUGAGGCUAAAGAGAAAUCAACAUAGAAAUCAAAUGGAAAAAGAACAUCAAAAAGAAUUUAUUGAUUAAAAAUUAUAUUACAUGUAUGAUUACAAGUGUAAAUAAAUCUAAGAAUCAAUAAACUCUUUGUAUGAAGUGUUUAAUAUGUCAAAUGGGAGGAGAGAGAUCUUUUCUCAUAAGGAAGUAACUCCUUAUUUAUAGAAAGAUGAAGCCUAGGGCUUCCCUAGGGCUUCCUAGUAAUAUGAGUCUAGUUCAAUGUCUAAUGGGCCUUGAGGAGGAUGUAAAUCAAUCCCCAACAGUAAGUCCCCCCAAGUUCGUUGAGAGAGAUGGAAUCGAUCUCUGCGAAGUUUACGAAUAGGGUUUAUUAGACAAUGAACUAGACACAUUCAUGCCUAUGACGGUUUAGGCGAGUUUAUUUCGAACUUGUGCCUAGUAAAAAGCGAGUUUGCUUUAAACUCGUGCUUAGCGAAAGACGAGUUUACUUGACUCAUGCUAAGACAGAGGCGAGUUUACUGAGAACUCGUGCCUAGUAGAAGGAGAGCUUCUGUAAACUCAUGCCUAGCCAAAGUUGAGUUUUUGUAAACUCGUGUCUAACAAUAAGCGAGUCGACCGCAAACUCGUGCCUAAUAAAAAGCAAGUUCAAUUUAAACUCGUGCCUAAAAUACAAGUUUACCGAACUAUUGCCGACCCGAAGUCUCGUGUUGAGAUCGUGUGUGCCGAGCAAGUUGUUGGCUUGUAUGUUCGUCAGGCUGCGAUGACGUUCAUUUGUGAGGUCGGGCUCGGGCUCAUCGGUGUUGAUGGAGCAUAAAGAAGCACAAUGUUUGAUGAGUGCAUCAUUCACAAGAACGAGACGCCGUCGACCCUGUGAAACAAAUGACGAGGUGAUGAGGGGAUGAGGUGGUUGGCUCAUCAUCUCCGCUCUCGCCGGAAUCAAACUGAAUGUAUCAAGACUGAAUCAUGGUCGCCGAGAUCGAGUCACCAAAGAGAUAAUCUUCACAAAUAAAAUUUAAACCCCAUUAAUAAUUAGACCUUGCAACUAAAAAAAAAAAAUGUAAGAGUUGAUAUGCUUUAUGACUUGAUACUCGGGCUAGCAUAUUAAUUUUUCCUUGCUGCUAGCAUAUUAAUUUUUCCUAGCAAGGGACAAGGGUUUACGUAUGACUACCAUAAUCCAUUAACUUUCCCAAUAAUUUUAAUAAAGCAAUUAGCUGCCAAACUAUCAAUAGACGUGCAUUUUGACGUUUUAAAGAAGGUGGUCUAAUGAUAAUAAUUAGUUAAUAUUGGGAAAACUUAUCUCAAUGUAUCGCUCUUGUCUGAGCUGAGAUGGUGGUGAGCUCUGCCUCAAUGGAUCGUUCUUGUCUGAGCUGAGAUGGUGGUAAGCUCUGUGUUCCACAGAACAAGUCGGCAAAGAGAAGCAAGAGCUUUUAAUGGAGGUGUGAUGACUGAUGUCAUUUCGUCAGAUUCUUUGCUGUUCGAGAAGCCAAGCUUAACGACGGGUUGGAAUGCGUUUUGCGCGGUGAACAAUCUUGUGAAGCCGAGUGGAAACAUAACAUGGCAGUAUUAAGCUGGAGCACGCCUUGUAAGGUGUUGCAGUCUUCACUCUCGCAAAGCGAGUCAUGGCGAGAAGAAGCUGUUGACUUUGGAGCUCAAUUUAGUAAGAAUAAAGCUUUGAAAAACAGAGCUCAAGUCGUCAAUAAGCUGUCCUUGAUGGGGCUUGAAGGAUCAAGUCUUUGCCGUGUCUCGUGUCUGAACAACAGCUUGGAGACCAAAGGUAUGAGCGAAGCAGUUGCUCAUCUGACCAGACAAGAACUCGAUCCAACAACGCAGUGAAGAACAUGUGUUUCUCAAGGCAGAUCAAGUGGUUGCUCAUCCGAUCAGAAGUUGAUGAGGAGGAAGAUGAUUCAGUGGAAGCCGAGCCAGAUAAGUUUCUGUUUGCUAUUUGCUUGUCUGGAGCUGGAGCUGCGUAUGAAUUACGUCGCUGCGAACAGAGAGGUAGUGAAAGCUGAGGAGAUCGCGGGAGCCGUAAGAUCUCUGACGGACGGUGAGGAUACGCCGGGGAAGAGAAUGAAGGAGAUGGCGGAAGCUGCGAGGAUGGCUCGUCUUCACGGCGGCGACGUUUGAGAUCGUGUGUCUGAUGUCGUUCUCUGGGAUUACGAACAUGAACUGCCAUUGUUGCUUCAUGUUAUUAUCAGCCCACCAAGUGCUCGAUGAAAGUCCCACCCGAAGAAAGCAAAGCUUUCAUGAGAAAGCUUCAUCCUUUAGCUUCACCUAGUGCUCGAUGAACUGCUUCUGCCGGGAUCGGAUCUUCUGAGGAUGAUAUGCCCAAACUGUCGAGAUCAACCCAAGAACGCCGAUAUCAAGUUCUGUCGAGGACUGUCGCGUUAUCAAAGCCGAGAACGUGAGUCUCGAACAGCUUCUCCUAUCUUGUGAUGAACAAACCGGAACGUGAGUCUCGAACAGCUUCUCCUAUCUUGUGAUGAACAAACCGGAACUGACGAGUAUCCACGGUAAGAAACUAGACCCAUAUUACUAGGAAGCCCUAGGCUUCAUCUUUCUAUAAAUAAGGAGUUACUUCCUUAUGAGAAAGGAUCUCUCUCCUCCCAUUUUGACAUAUUAAACACUUCAUACAAAGAGUUUAUUGAUUCUUAGAUUUAUUUACACUUGUAAUCAUACAUGUAAUAUAAUCUUUAAUCAAUAAAUUCUUUUUGAUAAUAACAUGAAGCAACAAUGGCAGUUCAUGUUCGUAAUCCCAGAGAACGACAUCAGACACACGAUCUCAAACGUCGCCGCCGUGAAGACGAGCCAUCCUCGCAGCUUCCGCCAUCUCCUUCAUUCUCUUCCCCGGCGUAUCCUCACCGUCCGUCAGAGAUCUUACGGCUCCCGCGAUCUCCUCAGCUUUCACUACCUCUCCGUUCGCAGCGACGUAAUUCAUACGCAGCUCCAGCUCCAGACAAGCAAAUAGCAAACAGAAACUUAUCUGGCUCGGCUUCCACUGAAUCAUCUUCCUCCUCAUCAACUUCUGAUCGGAUGAGCAACCACUUGAUCUGCCUUGAGAAACACAUGUUCUUCACUGCGUUGUUGGAUCGAGUUCUUGUCUGGUCAGAUGAGCAACUGCUUCGCUCAUACCUUUGGUCUCCAAGCUGUUGUUCAGACACGAGACACGGCAAAGACUUGAUCCUUCAAGCCCCAUCAAGGACAGCUUAUUGACGACUUGAGCUCUGUUUUUCAAAGCUUUAUUCUUACUAAAUUGAGCUCCAAAGUCAACAGCUUCUUCUCGCCAUGACUCGCUUUGCGAGAGUGAAGACUGCAACACCUUACAAGGCGUGCUCCAGCUUAAUACUGCCAUGUUAUGUUUCCACUCGGCUUCACAAGAUUGUUCACCGCGCAAAACGCAUUCCAACCCGUCGUUAAGCUUGGCUUCUCGAACAGCAAAGAAUCUGACGAAAUGACAUCAGUCAUCACACCUCCAUUAAAAGCUCUUGCUUCUCUUUGCCGACUUGUUCUGUGGAACACAGAGCUUACCACCAUCUCAGCUCAGACAAGAACGAUCCAUUGAGGCAGAGCUCACCACCAUCUCAGCUCAGACAAGAGCGAUACAUUGAGAUAAGUUUUCCCAAUAUUAACUAAUUAUUAUCAUUAGACCACCUUCUUUAAAACGUCAAAAUGCACGUCUAUUGAUAGUUUGGCAGCUAAUUGCUUUAUUAAAAUUAUUGGGAAAGUUAAUGGAUUAUGGUAGUCAUACGUAAACCCUUGUCCCUUGCUAGGAAAAAUUAAUAUGCUAGCAGCAAGGAAAAAUUAAUAUGCUAGCCCGAGUAUCAAGUCAUAAAGCAUAUCAAUUUUUUUUUAUCCUAGAUCUAGGGUUUUCCCAAGUUUGAUAUGCUAUCAAGAUUGUUCUCUUUGGCCCCCUCCUUCUAGCGCCAACUGUUUGAACCGAAAAUGGUGUGUUUGUCGGAUUCAUACAAUGAAGAAUUUAAGAAAUAGAUUUCUUAGAUUCUUGAGGCUAAAGAGAAAUCAACAUAGAAAUCAAAUGGAAAAAGAACAUCAAAAAGAAUUUAUUGAUUAAAGAUUAUAUUACAUGUAUGAUUACAAGUGUAAAUAAAUCUAAGAAUCAAUAAACUCUUUGUAUGAAGUGUUUAAUAUGUCAAAAUGGGAGGAGAGAGAUCUUUUCUCAUAAGGAAGUAACUCCUUAUUUAUAGAAAGAUGAAGCCUAGGGCUUCCUAGUAAUAUGGGUCUAGUUCAAUGUCUAAUGGGCCUUGAGGAGGAUGUAAAUCCAUCCCCAACAGUAAGUCCCCCCAAGUUCGUUGAGAGAGAUGGAAUCGAUCUCUGCGAAGUUUACGAAUAGGGUUUAUUAGACAAUGAACUAGACAUACUCAUGCCUAUGACGGUUUAGGCGAGUUUAUUUCGAACUUGUGCCUAGUAAAAAGCGAGUUUGCUUUAAACUCAUGCUUAGCGAAAGACGAGUUUACUUGACUCAUGCUAAGACAGAGGCGAGUUUACUGAGAACUCGUGCCUAGUAGAAGGAGAGCUUCUGUAAACUCAUGCCUAGCCAAAGUUGAGUUUUUGUAAACUCGUGUCUAACAAUAAGCGAGUCGACCGCAAACUCGUGCCUAAUAAAAAGCAAGUUCAAUUUAAACUCGUGCCUAAAAUACAAGUUUACCGAACUAUUGCCGACCCGAAGUCUCGUGUUGAGAUCGUGUGUGCCGAGCAAGUUGUUGGCUUGUAUGUUCGUCAGGCUGCGAUGACGUUCAUUUGUGAGGUCGGGCUCGGGCUCAUCGGUGUUGAUGGAGCAUAAAGAAGCACAAUGUUUGAUGAGUGCAUCAUUCACAAGAACGAGACGCCGUCGACCCUGUGAAACAAAUGACGAGGUGAUGAGGGGAUGAGGUGGUUGGCUCAUCAUCUCCGCUCUCGCCGGAAUCAAACUGAAUGUAUCAAGACUGAAUCAUGGUCGCCGAGAUCGAGUCACCAAAGAGAUAAUCUUCACAAAUAAAAUUUAAACCCCAUUAAUAAUUAGACCU
This 7023-nucleotide long non-coding RNA is filed under the name Brassica napus (rape). RNAcentral's name for it is "long non-coding RNA (BNAP_LNC026322)". The record is from RNAcentral. Lineage: Eukaryota; Viridiplantae; Streptophyta; Magnoliopsida; Brassicales; Brassicaceae.